Long non-coding RNA from Triticum aestivum (bread wheat), 2221 nucleotides. RefSeq lists it as uncharacterized. Lineage: Eukaryota; Viridiplantae; Streptophyta; Magnoliopsida; Poales; Poaceae. The record is from RefSeq and is a predicted model, not a curated record. The transcript is spliced from 5 exons.
CACCGCUCCCGACCUCCAGCCUUCGUCCAGUAAGCCCUCCCGCGCGCCCUGUCUCUCCUCUUCUCCCUUCUCCUUUCCUUUCCUCUCUCUCAGAAAUCUUGUCUCUGGCCCAUGGAUCCCGAUGGAACACCAUGGAUCCCGAUGUGGAGCUCCACUGCGGCCCGAUCUGACCUGGGAGCGGCUAGAUCCGUGCGUCUCCGCCUCGCUCCGCGCGGCCUCCAUGGUCCGCCGUCUUCUCCAGCGCCGGCGCCGCGCUCGGCCGCCGCCGUCCCAUGCCAUGGUCGCCUCCCUCCAGAACGACCUGGCAUGGCCACCUCCCCGCCUCUCCCGCAAGUGGGCCUCUGUGCAACCAGAUCUGUAAGUCUGUGCCUCGCUCCGCGGGCCUCCAUGGUUAUCCGUCUUCCCGAGCGCCGGCGCCGCGCGCAGCCGCCGCGCCGUCCCAUGCCAUGGUCGCCUCCCUCCAAAAUGUCGUGCCAUGUCCGCCUCCCUGCCUCUCCCGCAAGUGGGCCGAUGCGCCCCCGACCUAGCAGAUUAAUGGAGGGCGCUGCCGACGUCGGUUCAUGCCUCGGUUCACCUGAUUCCUGACGUCCAAUUCCUUUUGUUGUUGCUAUAUUCAACCUCAUCUCUGAAAUUUUACAUCUUCCUGUGUUGCUGUGCAGGUGUAUCAAGUUUCACAAGGUCAAUGAUUAUUGAACCAUCUGGUUAGGAAGAACUUCUUCACGCUUUUCUUUGUGAAAACCAAAUUUUUUUAUCUGGUAGGUAAAGAUAAAGAUUUUCAGUUUAAUUAUCUUCAAAAUUCUGUGUGUGGGGAAGUGCCUGGCGGUGGUGGUUGGGCACUUGAGCUUGGAGCUGGCCAGGGCAGUGGAUGGGGAAGAGGAGAUUGCUGCUACUGUUGUCGUUUUGUGUAUGCUACAGCUGCAAAAUUCUGUGUAAGUCAAUCCUAGGCGAGUUCUAUAUUGUUAGCCUUUGUGGUGACUGCUACACGAUCCUGAAAGAAACAAGGAGAAUAUAGCUCUUAACUGAAGCAAAUAGGAUUUCGUCAAGGUUGUGCCUCAAUAUCAUGGAUGCGCCUAUGCAUGUCAAUUUUUCUAACGACAUGAUUUCUGCUCUUGGGCUAGCGGAUAGGGUUGUGCUUGUUGUCGAUGCUGCUGAGGUCGGCAUGAAUUGGGAUAUGACCGCUUACACAUCCGGGACACAAGGGGCCGCCAUAGCUUGGUUUGUCUCUUUGGACUGCCACAGUGCCCAUCCGGGCGUCUUUGGAUCCUCAGCCAUGGGCCUUGCUGUCUAUGGAUCAUACGCCACUGGUCAUGUUUCGCCACCUGUCUCUCAGGACAACCACCCCUAUGUUCAGUUCGGGAGGCACCGGAGGGAGCCGACAUGGUCAUCAUCAUUCCGUGAAUGAAUAAACUCUUCAAGAUCACUUGUGCGGCUCGGUUAAAGGUAAACAUGUCCAUAGUAUCUUCGUAAGCAUAUAAGUAAUAAUUUGUAUUAGGCAUGAUUCUCGUUCAACUGUCUAGAGAUUGUAUAGUUGUUUUGACGCAUUAGAUCAGUCCGUACAUACAAAUUGGUUUCAUUGAGAUGUGUUCCUUUUCUAUCAUGUCAAUGACGAAUAUACACUAUAUUUCUUUCCUCAUAAUAAAUUGUCAAUUCUUUGAGAUGGGUGAGGAAAAUCGUCAAGAUUAAAGAAUUGCAGGUUGAAAAGGUAUAUUGUUUAAUCCCAUCUUAUUUUCACAAUACUCGGUUUGAUGUUUUUUGGAAGAUUAGAUUGAAAAACAACCAAUUUUUCUAUCGUACUUGAGUUGGGAGUCAUUGUAGAUAACGUUGUGCAGGUUAAAUUUAUGCUCACUGCCCACACUACCGUAAUUCAUGCAUGUUGGUGCUUUCCAGGUGACGUGCCCAACAUGCUUUUGCUCGAGAAUGGCAAUGGGAAUGUUGUGCUAGGGCCUGAAUCAGUUUUUGAUGUAUACUCUGAAGAGUUACACUGCUAUGAAGUUGGACAACAUUGAAUACAACCAGUGUUGAAGUAUACCAACCGCAUCAGCUUCCGAGUCCAUCGACAAUCCAAGCUUUGUAUCUUUGAGGUUUCAGAUAUUUGAGAAUUAUUAUUUUCUUGUCAGUGAAGGUUAUCAUGUUUUCACACCCGCUCUAUAAUGUUUCAAGGAAAAAUGUCAAACAUGGUUACCUUUGUAAAGAGUUCAGAUCAUCUAAUGUAAAUAUGCAA